GGUCAAGCUACAAAGGGCGCAUGGUGAAUGCCUUGGCAUCAGGAGCCGAUGAAGGACGUGAUAAGCUGCGAUAAGCUUCGGGUAGGCGCACAUAGCCUGAGAUCCGAAGAUUUCCGAAUGAGGAAACUCACAUGGGAAACCCCAUGUAUCAUUAAGUGAAUACAUAGCUUAAUGAAGGUAACCCAGGGAACUGAAACAUCUAAGUACCUGGAGGAAGAGAAAGAAAAAUCGAUUUUCUUAGUAGCGGCGAGCGAAAGGGAAAGAGCCCAAACCGGAAACUUGUUUCCGGGGUUGUGGACAUAGCAUAAAAGUGGAGGCUAUUGUAACUGAAGAGAACUGGAAAGUUCCACCGUAGAAGGUAAUAGUCCUGUAAGUGAAACGAGAAGACCACGAGUUAUGAUCCAGAGUACCACGAGACACGUGAAACCUUGUGGGAAGCAGGGAGGACCACCUCCCAAGGCUAAAUACUACCUGAUGACCGAUAGUGAAGCAGUACCGUGAGGGAAAGGUGAAAAGAACCCCGGGAGGGGAGUGAAAUAGAACCUGAAACCGUGUGCCUACAACCGCUCAGAGCCCCUUAUGAGGGUGAUGAGGUGCUUUUUGUAGAACGAGCCAACGAGUUACGGUAUGUAGCAAGGUUAAGUACUUAAGGUACGGAGCCGAAGGGAAACCGAGUCUGAAUAGGGCGACUAGUUGCAUGCCGUAGACCCGAAACCGGGUGACCUAUCCAUGGCCAGGUUGAAGCGAGGGUAAAACCUCGUGGAGGACCGAACCACGUUGCUGUUGAAAAAGCAUGGGAUGAGCUGUGGAUAGCGGAGAAAUUCCAAUCGAACCCGGAGAUAGCUGGUUCUCUCCGAAAUAGCUUUAGGGCUAGCGUCGAGUAUGAGUAGUGGAGGUAGAGCACUGAAUGGGCUAGGGGGCAUAGCGCUUACCGAACCUUAUCAAACUCCGAAUGCCACAUACUUUGAGCUCGGCAGUCAGACUACGAAUGAUAAGAUCCGUGGUCAAAAGGGAAACAGCCCAGAUCGUCAGCUAAGGUCCCAAAGUGUAAGUUAAGUGGGAAAGGAUGUGAGAUUUCUAAGACAACUAGGAUGUUGGCUUAGAAGCAGCCAUUCAUUAAAAGAGUGCGUAAUAGCUCACUAGUCGAGAGAUCUUGCGCCGAAAAUGUAACGGGGCUAAACUUACCACCGAAGCUACGGGCUUGAACUUAGUUCAAGCGGUAGGAGAGCGUCGUAACCGGGCUGAAGUCGUACCGUAAGGAGCGGUGGACUGGUUACGAGUGAGAAUGUUGGCAUCAGUAGCGAGAUGUGGGUGAGAAUCCCACAGGCCGAAAACCUAAGGUUUCCUCAGGAAGGUUCGUCCGCUGAGGGUUAGUCGGGACCUAAGCCGAGGCCGAAAGGCGUAGGUGAUGGACAACUGGUUGAUAUUCCAGUACCACUACCAUCGUUAUUAUCGAUGGCGUGACGCAGGAGGAUAGUGUGUGCUAGCUAUUGGAUGCUAGUCUAAGCGUUUAGGCAGUGAGAGUAGGCAAAUCCGCUCUCAUAAUGCUGAGGCGUGAUGGGGAAGGUUCUACGGAACCGAAGUACAUGAUUCCACGCUGCCAAGAAAAGCGUCUAGAGAGAGAAGUAGUGCCCGUACCGCAAACCGACACAGGUAGGUGAGGAGAGAAUCCUAAGGCCGGCGGAAGAAUUACAGUUAAGGAACUCGGCAAAUUGACCCCGUAAGUUCGCGAGAAGGGGUGCCUACGAGAGUAGGCCGCAGAGAAUAGGCCCAAGCAACUGUUUAGCAAAAACACAGGUCUCUGCUAAAGCGUAAGCUGAUGUAUAGGGGCUGACGCCUGCCCGGUGCUGGAAGGUUAAGGGGAACACUUAGCGCAAGCGAAGGUGUGAACUUAAGCCCCAGUAAACGGCGGCCGUAACUAUAACGGUCCUAAGGUAGCGAAAUUCCUUGUCAGGUAAGUUCUGACCCGCACGAAUGGCGUAAUGACUUGGGCACUGUCUCAACUGUAAAUCCGGCGAAGUUGUAGUGCGAGUGAAGAUGCUCGCUACCCGCGAUUGGACGGAAAGACCCCGUAGAGCUUUACUGUAGCUUAGCAUUGAGUUUUGGUAUUGUCUGUACAGGAUAGGUGGGAGACUAGGAAACCAGGGCGUCAGCCUUGGUGGAGUCAACCUUGGGAUACCACCCUGACAGUACUGAAAUUCUAACUGGCGGCCAUGAAUCUGGUCACAGGACAUUGUUAGGUGGGCAGUUUGACUGGGGCGGUCGCCUCCUAAAAAGUAACGGAGGCGCCCAAAGGUUCCCUCAGAACGGUCGGAAAUCGUUCGAAGAGUGCAAAGGCAGAAGGGAGCCUGACUGCGACACCCACAAGUGGAGCAGGGACGAAAGUCGGGCUUAGUGAUCCGGUGGUACCUCGUGGGAGGGCCAUCGCUCAACGGAUAAAAGCUACCUCGGGGAUAACAGGCUGAUCUCCCCCAAGAGUCCACAUCGACGGGGAGGUUUGGCACCUCGAUGUCGGCUCGUCGCAUCCUGGGGCUGAAGUAGGUCCCAAGGGUUGGGCUGUUCGCCCAUUAAAGCGGCACGCGAGCUGGGUUCAGAACGUCGUGAGACAGUUCGGUCCCUAUCCGUCGCGGGCGUAGGAAAUUUGAGAGGAGCUGUCCUUAGUACGAGAGGACCGGGAUGGACUGACCUCUGGUGUACCAGUUGUUCCGCCAGGAGCACAGCUGGGUAGCUAAGUCGGGAAUGGAUAAACGCUGAAAGCAUCUAAGCGUGAAGCCAACCUCAAGAUGAGAUUUCCCAUAGCGUAAGCUAGUAAGAUCCCUUGAAGAACACAAGGUUGAUAGGUCGGGGGUGUAAGCAUGGUAACAUGUUCAGCUGACCGAUACUAAUAGAUCGAGGGCUUGACCAA
RNAcentral lists this ribosomal RNA (2905 nucleotides) under Clostridium perfringens. RNAcentral's name for it is "23S ribosomal RNA". It matches the Rfam family "Bacterial large subunit ribosomal RNA". Lineage: Bacteria; Bacillati; Bacillota; Clostridia; Eubacteriales; Clostridiaceae. RNAcentral also lists the same sequence under 1 other name. The record is from RNAcentral.